Molecule: ribosomal RNA, 460 nt
Filed under: uncultured bacterium
Lineage: Bacteria
Description: partial 16S ribosomal RNA
Rfam family: Bacterial small subunit ribosomal RNA
Source: RNAcentral
CCUACGGGAGGCAGCAGUGAGGAAUAUUGGUCAAUGGGCGCGAGCCUGAACCAGCCAAGUAGCGUGAAGGAUGACUGCCCUACGGGUUGUAAACUUCUUUUAUAAGGGAAUAACGUGAGGUACGUGUGCCUUUUUGUAUGUACUUUAUGAAUAAGGACCGGCUAACUCCGUGCCAGCAGCCGCGGUAAUACGGAGGGUCCGGGCGUUAUCCGGAUUUAUUGGGUUUAAAGGGAGCGUAGGUGGGUUGUUAUGUCUGUUGUGAAAGGUUGGGGCUCAACCGUGGAAUUGCAAUUGGUACUGGCAUUCUUGAGUACAGGUGAGGUAGGCGGAAUUCGUGGUGUAGCGGUGAAAUGCUUAGAUAUCACGAAGAACUCCGAUUGCGAAGGCAGCUUACUGAAGUGCCACUGACAUUGAUGCUCGAAAGUGUGGGUAUCGAACAGGAUUAGAUACCCGGGUAGUC